RNAcentral lists this ribosomal RNA (426 nucleotides) under uncultured bacterium. RNAcentral describes it as "bacterial SSU rRNA". It matches the Rfam family "Bacterial small subunit ribosomal RNA", at positions 11 to 479 of the family's 1533-position model. The record is from RNAcentral.
GUUUGAUCCUGGCUCAGAACGAACGCUGGCGGCAUGCCUAACACAUGCAAGUCGAACGGAUGGUUUCGGCCAUCAGUGGCGCACGGGUGAGUAACGCGUGGGAAUCUGCCCAGCAGUGGGGGAUAACCUCUGGAAACGGAGGCUAAUACCGCAUACGCCCCUCGGGGGAAAGGCUUGCUGCUGCUGGAGGAGCCCCGCGUCGGAUUAGGUAGUUGGUGGGGUAACGGCCUACCAAGCCUGUGAUCCGUAGCUGGUCUGAGAGGAUGAUCAGCCACACUGGGACUGAGACACGGCCCAGACUCCUACGGGAGGCAGCAGUGGGGAAUAUUGGACAAUGGGGGCAACCCUGAUCCAGCAAUGCCGCGUGAGUGAUGAAGGCCUCGGUUGUAAAGGACUCUUUCGUCCCACGACGAUGAUGACGGUAGU